Molecule: ribosomal RNA, 330 nt
Filed under: uncultured bacterium
Lineage: Bacteria
Description: bacterial SSU rRNA
Rfam family: Bacterial small subunit ribosomal RNA
Source: RNAcentral
AUAAUGACGUUACUCGCAGAAGAAGCCCCGGCUAACUUCGUGCCAGCAGCCGCGGUAAUACGAAGGGGCUAGCGUUGUUCGGAAUCACUGGGCGUAAAGCGCACGUAGGCGGACUUUAAGUUCAGGGGUGAAAUACCCGGGGCUCAACCCCGGAACCUGCCUUUGAUACUGGAAGUCUUGAGUCCGAGAGAGGUGAGUGGAACUCCGAGUGUAGAGGUGAAAUUCGUAGAUAUUCGGAAGAACACCAGUGGCGAAGGCGGCUCACUGGCUCGGUACUGACGCUGAGGUGACGAAAGCGUGGGGAGCAAACAGGAUUAGAUACCCUGGUAG